Long non-coding RNA from Macrosteles quadrilineatus (aster leafhopper), 602 nucleotides. RefSeq lists it as uncharacterized. Lineage: Eukaryota; Metazoa; Arthropoda; Insecta; Hemiptera; Cicadellidae. The record is from RefSeq and is a predicted model, not a curated record. The transcript has 3 exons.
AUGUGUUCAUUUUUUAUAAACAGUUUCGGUUAUUCGCCUAAGUACACUCAAACUGAAUUUGAUAAUGCUUGGAAGAAAAUGACGACGAGGGAUAAGUUUUAUAAGCCUCUGCAAAAGCAAAUGGGAUGUUGGCCCAAAAACACGAUUACAUACAGCAUUCAUUAUGGGUUCACUUAUGGUCAGUAUAAUCAUAUAUUAAACCACAUAAAUCAAAUACAGAACAAAACAUGUCUACGGUGGGUAGAGAAAAACCCGUACGCUGAAGGUCUGCGGAAAUCAUUGGAGUUUGCCUACUCUAAAAAGGUCACUGACUGUUAUACAAGGGAGGUGGGUGAUGAAAAAGCAAAAAAAAGGGAUAAUAUCCAUAAUAACCCUGGGGGAUGAAUGCUUCGAUAGGGAGUCAGUUAUACAUGAGAUGAUGCAUGCGUUGGGGUUCCUACAUGAACACCAGAGGAUAGAUAGGGACUGUUACGUCAAAGUUGAGGAUAAAUAUGCACAAUCAGAUUUGGAAUUCAAAAUCGUCUACGACGACAGUACUUUUGAGAAAUGGCCGUACGACAAAGAAAGUGUAACUCACUACACUCGGCUGGGUGACGCACUAA